This is a long non-coding RNA of Clupea harengus (Atlantic herring), 684 nucleotides long. RefSeq lists it as uncharacterized. NCBI's taxonomy places the organism in Eukaryota, Metazoa, Chordata, Actinopteri, Clupeiformes, Clupeidae. The record is from RefSeq and is a predicted model, not a curated record.
AUUUCCAAUCAGGCAUACUCCUGCGCAACCAAAUAUUUAAAGGGGCCACAACCAACGUCGCUCAAGAGGUAUUUACAUAGCUUUUACUUUGCCGAGAACCAUAGAGAGCACCGUAGCUGAGAGUAUGGGAAGAAUAGAGCUUGUUCAUUGGUGCACCGUUUGCGCGUGCGUAUUGUGUCUUCUAUUUCAAACAGGGUCUGUAAAAAUGGGGCAUAAUACAGAUGGUGAAUUGGUGCGGCGCGAAUGGAGAAGGCAGAUGGAAGUGCACCUCUGCGGUGUGGGUUGAUUCCUCUAAGGGAAGUCAACCCACCUUUUAAUUUCACUGAUCUGCAACCUGAUGGCCAGUGGCUACGUCCCCCUCCAGCUGCUGAUGUCAAGAAGAGGGGACACCCUCACUGAGGAGCCUUCACAGCCAGUGAUCUGAGGAGCAGGCAUUGCGUUGGGCAAUGUGCCCAAUGUUUUUGGAGUACUUGAGGGGUACGUGUGAACGGUCAAGUUUGUAAUGGUAUGGUUUAGGUCACUGUUUCAUUGAGUGUUUAAGUCCUUUGAGUCCACCUAGCAAAAAAUUGGUGAGAAAAGAGAGAGAUUUUUUCCCUGAGAUUUAAAGGUGCCGUCUAAGAUUUUGGUGAAAUGUUGUUGAAAUAAAAUACCAAAUGAAAUGUUAUACAUUUGUGUUGAAACAAA